Molecule: non-coding RNA, 181 nt
Filed under: Desulfovibrio sp. OH1186_COT-070
Lineage: Bacteria; Pseudomonadati; Thermodesulfobacteriota; Desulfovibrionia; Desulfovibrionales; Desulfovibrionaceae
Also listed under: 1 other name
Description: 6S / SsrS RNA
Rfam family: 6S / SsrS RNA
About the family: E. coli 6S RNA was the first non coding RNA to be sequenced, but its function was unknown until recently. It consists of 184 nucleotides that fold into an extended hairpin structure with a large single-stranded internal bulge.
Source: Rfam by way of RNAcentral
CGUUCCCUGGAACGCCCGUGAUUUUGUUUCGGUGCUGGCCUGACAAGCAUAUACAAGGGAAUCGUUCCUGUCCUCUGUGUGCAUGCCCGGAUUUUUUCGGGAAGCCUGAUCAGGGCAUACAGAUCCCGACCUGGAAAUCCAGGUUCUGCACCGCAUCACGACACGACGUUCCGGGGAUUCG